AUGACUGAAGGAAGGGUACAGAAACCAAGGAGAGUUACAGCAAAGCCUCCAUCUGAAAGGGUACAGACACCAAGGAGAGUUACAGAAACCAAGGAGAGUUACAGCAAAAUCGGGAACUCCCUCUCGUCGUCCCUUCUUCCACCAGCGAACCUCCCAACAGCAAAGCCUCCAUCUGGGAGCCGCCAAAUCGUCAACCCGACCGUCGUCUCCUCCUCACUGCCAGCCUCAGCCAGUGUUGCUGCCCCGGUCGUCGGCGGCGCCGAGGUCACUUGCCGGAGCAGGCUGCGCCACAUCUGUGGGCAGCUCGUGCCGGCACACGGGACACGAGUUACACAGCGCGAGCCAUUGCAGGAUGCAGUCCUGGUGGUAAAUGUGGCUGCAGGGCGUCUCCCUGGCCUAGUCGCCCAGCUCGAAGGCCUCCUUGCAGACGGCACAGUGGGAGUCGGCGCCGACGUUGCCAGGGCAGGCGGCGACGACGAUGGUGGGCAUGGACUCGACGGCGGCCUUGCAGGCCAGCGGGUUGUCGUAGGGGAGGAUGGCGCCGAAGCCGCCGGCCUCGAUCUGGGCGAGCUGCUCGAGGAGCCGCUCAAAUCCGGGCCCCAUGAGGAAGUCGGACAUGCUCUCGGGCAGCGGGCGGAGGCCGGAUCCGGCGCCGUCGUCGUAGAAGAGCUUGAAUCUGCUGCUGGCGCUGGGGGCCUCGUCACAGGGAGGGGCGGCCGAGCGCCGGAGCAUGAUGACCGGGUUGCACGGCGACCCCAAGCGGUCACCCGAGGCGCCACGCCGGCUCCGGCGGGGUCAGACCUCGUUGCCCUGUUGGGGGCGGAGGGCGCAACGGCCCUGCGCGGCGGCGGCGCGUCUAUCUACUCCAGGAAGCCGCCGUCGCAGCCGGGGCGGCAGGGGAGCUCGAGUAUCGGAUAA
Molecule: ribosomal RNA, 918 nt
Filed under: Triticum aestivum (bread wheat)
Lineage: Eukaryota; Viridiplantae; Streptophyta; Magnoliopsida; Poales; Poaceae
Description: partial small subunit ribosomal RNA
Source: RNAcentral